Molecule: ribosomal RNA, 468 nt
Filed under: uncultured bacterium
Lineage: Bacteria
Description: partial 16S ribosomal RNA
Rfam family: Bacterial small subunit ribosomal RNA
Source: RNAcentral
GACGAACGCUGGCGGCGUGCUUAACACAUGCAAGUCGAACGGAAAGGCCCUGCUUUUGUGGGGUGCUCGAGUGGCGAACGGGUGAGUAACACGUGAGUAACCUGCCCUUGACUUUGGGAUAACUUCAGGAAACUGGGGCUAAUACCGGAUAGGAGCUCCUGCUGCAUGGUGGGGGUUGGAAAGUUUCGGCGGUUGGGGAUGGACUCGCGGCUUAUCAGCUUGUUGGUGGGGUAGUGGCUUGCCAAGGCUUUGACGGGUAGCCGGCCUGAGAGGGUGACCGGCCACAUUGGGACUGGAAUACGGCCCAGACCCCUACGGGAGGCAGCAGUGGGGAAUAUUGCACAAUGGGCGGAAGCCUGAUGCAGCAACGCCGCGUGCGGGAUGACGGCCUUCGGGUUAUAAACCGCUUUCGCCUGUGACGAAGCGUGAGUGACGGUAAUGGGUAAAGAAGCACCGGCUAACUACGUG